This 254-nucleotide ribosomal RNA is filed under the name uncultured bacterium. RNAcentral's name for it is "partial 16S ribosomal RNA". It matches the Rfam family "Bacterial small subunit ribosomal RNA", at positions 524 to 776 of the family's 1533-position model. The record is from RNAcentral.
UACGAAGGGGGCUAGCGUUGUUCGGAAUCACUGGGCGUAAAGCGCACGUAGGCGGAUUGUUAAGUCGGGGGUGAAAGCCUGUGGCUCAACCACAGAAUUGCCUUCGAUACUGCAUGGCUUGAGACCGGAAGAGGUUAGUGGAACUGCGAGUGUAGAGGUGAAAUUCGUAGAUAUUCGCAAGAACACCAGUGGCGAAGGCGGCUGACUGGUCCGGUUCUGACGCUGAGGCGCGAAAAGCGUGGGGAGCAAACAGG